Camellia sinensis is the source of this 194-nucleotide non-coding RNA. The record is from RefSeq and is a predicted model, not a curated record. NCBI's taxonomy places the organism in Eukaryota, Viridiplantae, Streptophyta, Magnoliopsida, Ericales, Theaceae.
CUCUUUGGUCAAUUCAGUCUGGUGGACAUUGCCUAUGCUCCAUUCAUUGAAAGGUUUCAAAUCUUCUUUGAAGAUGCCUUGAAGUAUGACAUCACAUCAGGAAGACCAAAACUAGCAGCAUGGAUUGAAGAGCUGAACAAGAUUGACGCUUAUCCACAGACAAAAUGUGAACCCAAGUGCUUGUUGAAUUCUAC